Molecule: long non-coding RNA, 1335 nt
Organism: Sander lucioperca (pikeperch)
Lineage: Eukaryota; Metazoa; Chordata; Actinopteri; Perciformes; Percidae
Exons: 2
Source: RefSeq, a predicted model, not a curated record
GGAGGAAACGCUGCAACAAAAAAAGGAUUACUGGGACGGAUGGGAUGACAGACAGGUUGCAUCUGCAGACAGGGCUCAAGUUAGAAAGAAAAGAGUCAAUCGGGUCUCCAUCUCUCUGUUACACCCGGGCUGAGAGUGUUGGGCCCCCGCGUCUCGUACCCCUUCCUAUCUGACAUGUAAGACCUGCAAACGCUGCGGUGUAAGGCUCGAAGUGAUUUUCUACGAGGCGCAUGCGCUGCUGCCUUACAAGCGCCCAAGCACACCCCUUGUUUUCUCUGGGAUCAGGUCUGACACGCUUUGGUGCGCAUGCCCUAAUGACACACACUCUAUUGGCUAUUGACCACCUUCAGAUGAGGGGCAGAGAUGGAUUCAGGAGGUACCAAUACUCUCCUCUUCCUAUGGGAAAUCUUACACUCAAUAUUUAUGAAUCAGAUCCUCAAAUCAAUGGGUUUUUCCACAACCCCAAUCUACAAUAUAGUAUCUGUACUAUAAAGUGAAAACAUCACUUCAACAGCUUCUUUCAAUGACUUGAAAUCGAAGAAAAGCCAAUUAAAUUGAGCAAAUGAGCAUUUCUUUGAAUUAUCAUCUCCUGGAAUUCACUCAAGGACCCCUGGGAUGCCACGCAUCCCACUUUUGGAAAGACAGUCACAGAAUAAAAUCAAGACCAUAAGCUGGUAAUAAAUAUAGACAUCUUUAAUUGCAUUUCAUUAGUUUAAGAAUGCCACAAGUUAUAAAUACCACAAAUCCGCUUUCAACAUGCCAAAACUUUUCCAAGACGUAUAACAGGUUUAAUACGAAGUACAGUCUUCCAUCUUAAAGUAUACACAUUUCAAAUAAAAGCAUUUCUUAAAAUUUAUAUUUAAAACACUAAGUAGUAUAAGGCUUGGCUAGUAUAACAAAGACCACAGGGUUAGUGUCAAAUGCUAAAAAUCAAGGAGGGACAAAUGAAAGGAUGCAUUCCACCAAACAAUAUGAAAAGAAGUUUGUGUGUGAUACAAUUGCAAAGUUGCAGAUAAUUUGUAUGGUUGUUUGCUGGCUAAUAAUCUUUUUUCAAGAUGUGCUUGGAUGUCAGUGAUAGUUCUGUCUCAGUUUUUUUGUUUUGGUAUGAAACUAUUCAUUUGUUAUAAUACAUCAGGUGCCACUUUAAGUUCACAGAAGCUUGACUUUAACAUAAAAAUUCAACAAAAAAAUCUAAUUAACCAAUAGCAAGUCAGUUUAGGUAAUUUUAGAUCAGGUCCUUUGAAUGGGAUCGUCCUUCCUCACCCUCAGACUGGGGCUUUUACUUCAACACGUAAAAACAAAACAGAAACACUCACAGUGCUACAAUAUUGCAUU